UCUGGUGGCGAUACGUUUAGGGGAAACACCCGUACCCAUCCCGAACACGAUGGUUAAGACCUAAGCGGCCGAUGGUACUGCACUGGAGACGGUGUGGGAGAGCAGGUGGCUGCCAGAU
This 118-nucleotide ribosomal RNA is filed under the name Lactonifactor longoviformis. RNAcentral also lists the same sequence under 7 other names. Lineage: Bacteria; Bacillati; Bacillota; Clostridia; Eubacteriales; Clostridiaceae. The record is from RNAcentral.